RNAcentral lists this transfer RNA (85 nucleotides) under Podarcis lilfordi (Lilford's wall lizard). RNAcentral's name for it is "tRNA.Ile". Lineage: Eukaryota; Metazoa; Chordata; Lepidosauria; Squamata; Lacertidae. The record is from RNAcentral.
GCACACGAUGGAUAGCUCAGUUGGUUAGAGUGUGGCGCUGAUAACACCAAGGUUGCAGGUUUGAUCCCCAUACGGGACAGCUGCA